RNAcentral lists this ribosomal RNA (843 nucleotides) under uncultured bacterium. RNAcentral's name for it is "bacterial SSU rRNA". It matches the Rfam family "Bacterial small subunit ribosomal RNA", at positions 28 to 862 of the family's 1533-position model. The record is from RNAcentral.
AUUGAACGCUGGCGGCAGGCUUAACACAUGCAAGUCGAGCGGUAACAUUUCAAGCUUGCUUGAAGAUGACGAGCGGCGGACGGGUGAGUAAUGCUUGGGAAUAUGCCUUAUGGUGGGGGACAACAGUUGGAAACGACUGCUAAUACCGCAUAAUGUCUACGGACCAAAGGGGGGGAUCUUCGGACCUCUCGCCAUUUGAUUAGCCCAAGUGAGAUUAGCUAGUUGGUGAGGUAAUGGCUCACCAAGGCGACGAUCUCUAGCUGGUUUGAGAGGAUGAUCAGCCACACUGGGACUGAGACACGGCCCAGACUCCUACGGGAGGCAGCAGUGGGGAAUAUUGCACAAUGGGCGCAAGCCUGAUGCAGCCAUGCCGCGUGUGUGAAGAAGGCCUUCGGGUUGUAAAGCACUUUCAGUAAGGAGGAAAGGGAUGUAGUUAAUAACUGCAUUCUGUGACGUUACUUACAGAAGAAGCACCGGCUAACUUCGUGCCAGCAGCCGCGGUAAUACGAGGGGUACAAGCGUUAAUCGGAAUUACUGGGCGUAAAGCGUUCGUAGGCGGUUGAUUAAGCAAGAUGUGAAAGCCCAGGGCUCAACCUUGGAACUGCAUUUUGAACUGGUCAACUAGAGUACUGUAGAGGGUGGUGGAAUUUCCAGUGUAGCGGUGAAAUGCGUAGAGAUUGGAAGGAACAUCAGUGGCGAAGGCGGCCACCUGGACAGAUACUGACGCUGAGGAACGAAAGCGUGGGGAGCGAACAGGAUUAGGUACCCUGGUAGUCCACGCCGUAAACGAUGUCAACUAGCCGUUUGUGUCCUAGAGACGUGAGUGGCGCAGCUAACGCACUA